UACGAAGGUGGCAAGCGUUGUUCGGAAUUAUUGGGCGUAAAGGGCGCGUAGGCGGACUUGUAAGUCGAUUGUGAAAACCCUGGGCUUAACCCGGGAACUGCAGUCGAAACUACAAGUCUUGAAUGCUCGAGAGGAUGGUAGAAUUCCAGGUGUAGAGGUGAAAUUCGUAGAUAUCUGGAGGAAUACCUGAGGCGAAAGCGGCCAUCUGGCGAGACAUUGACGCUGAGGCGCGAAAGCGUGGGGAUCAAACAGG
This 253-nucleotide ribosomal RNA is filed under the name uncultured bacterium. Its description in RNAcentral is "partial 16S ribosomal RNA". It matches the Rfam family "Bacterial small subunit ribosomal RNA", at positions 524 to 776 of the family's 1533-position model. The record is from RNAcentral.